GUGUGUGUGUGUGUGUGUGUGUGUGUGUAUAUAUAUAUAUAUGUGUGUGUGUGUGUGUGUACACACACACACACACACACAC
Podarcis lilfordi (Lilford's wall lizard) is the source of this 82-nucleotide non-coding RNA. NCBI's taxonomy places the organism in Eukaryota, Metazoa, Chordata, Lepidosauria, Squamata, Lacertidae. The record is from the annotation of a GenBank genome assembly.